This 2899-nucleotide ribosomal RNA is filed under the name Klebsiella pneumoniae. RNAcentral describes it as "bacterial LSU rRNA". It matches the Rfam family "Bacterial large subunit ribosomal RNA". The record is from RNAcentral. Lineage: Bacteria; Pseudomonadati; Pseudomonadota; Gammaproteobacteria; Enterobacterales; Enterobacteriaceae.
UUAAGCGACUAAGCGUACACGGUGGAUGCCCUGGCAGUCAGAGGCGAUGAAGGACGUGCUAAUCUGCGAAAAGCGUCGGUAAGGUGAUAUGAACCGUUAUAACCGGCGAUGUCCGAAUGGGGAAACCCAGUGCAAUUCGUUGCACUAUCGUUAACUGAAUACAUAGGUUAACGAGGCGAACCGGGGGAACUGAAACAUCUAAGUACCCCGAGGAAAAGAAAUCAACCGAGAUUCCCCCAGUAGCGGCGAGCGAACGGGGAGCAGCCCAGAGUCUGAAUCAGCUUGUGUGUUAGUGGAACGGUCUGGAAAGUCCGACGGUACAGGGUGAUAGUCCCGUACACCAAAAUGCACAGGUUGUGAACUCGAAGAGUAGGGCGGGACACGUGGUAUCCUGUCUGAAUAUGGGGGGACCAUCCUCCAAGGCUAAAUACUCCUGACUGACCGAUAGUGAACCAGUACCGUGAGGGAAAGGCGAAAAGAACCCCGGCGAGGGGAGUGAAAAAGAACCUGAAACCGUGUACGUACAAGCAGUGGGAGCACCUUCGGGUGUGACUGCGUACCUUUUGUAUAAUGGGUCAGCGACUUAUAUUCUGUAGCAAGGUUAACCGUAUAGGGGAGCCGCAGGGAAACCGAGUCUUAACUGGGCGUUAAGUUGCAGGGUAUAGACCCGAAACCCGGUGAUCUAGCCAUGGGCAGGUUGAAGGUUGGGUAACACUAACUGGAGGACCGAACCGACUAAUGUUGAAAAAUUAGCGGAUGACUUGUGGCUGGGGGUGAAAGGCCAAUCAAACCGGGAGAUAGCUGGUUCUCCCCGAAAGCUAUUUAGGUAGCGCCUCGUGAAUUCAUCUUCGGGGGUAGAGCACUGUUUCGGCUAGGGGGUCAUCCCGACUUACCAACCCGAUGCAAACUACGAAUACCGAAGAAUGUUAUCACGGGAGACACACGGCGGGUGCUAACGUCCGUCGUGAAGAGGGAAACAACCCAGACCGCCAGCUAAGGUCCCAAAGUCAUGGUUAAGUGGGAAACGAUGUGGGAAGGCACAGACAGCCAGGAUGUUGGCUUAGAAGCAGCCAUCAUUUAAAGAAAGCGUAAUAGCUCACUGGUCGAGUCGGCCUGCGCGGAAGAUGUAACGGGGCUAAACCAUGCACCGAAGCUGCGGCAGCGACACUAUGUGUUGUUGGGUAGGGGAGCGUUCUGUAAGCCUGCGAAGGUGACCUGUGAGGGUUGCUGGAGGUAUCAGAAGUGCGAAUGCUGACAUAAGUAACGAUAAAGCGGGUGAAAAGCCCGCUCGCCGGAAGACCAAGGGUUCCUGUCCAACGUUAAUCGGGGCAGGGUGAGUCGACCCCUAAGGCGAGGCCGAAAGGCGUAGUCGAUGGGAAACAGGUUAAUAUUCCUGUACUUGGUGUUACUGCGAAGGGGGGACGGAGAAGGCUAUGUUAGCCGGGCGACGGUUGUCCCGGUUUAAGCAUGUAGGCUGGUUGUCCAGGCAAAUCCGGAUAAUCAAGGCUGAGGUGUGAUGACGAGGCACUACGGUGCUGAAGUAACAAAUGCCCUGCUUCCAGGAAAAGCCUCUAAGCAUCAGGUAACAUCAAAUCGUACCCCAAACCGACACAGGUGGUCAGGUAGAGAAUACCAAGGCGCUUGAGAGAACUCGGGUGAAGGAACUAGGCAAAAUGGUGCCGUAACUUCGGGAGAAGGCACGCUGGUGUGUAGGUGAAGUCCCUGCGGAUGGAGCUGAGACCAGUCGAAGAUACCAGCUGGCUGCAACUGUUUAUUAAAAACACAGCACUGUGCAAACACGAAAGUGGACGUAUACGGUGUGACGCCUGCCCGGUGCCGGAAGGUUAAUUGAUGGGGUUAUCCGUAAGGAGAAGCUCUUGAUCGAAGCCCCGGUAAACGGCGGCCGUAACUAUAACGGUCCUAAGGUAGCGAAAUUCCUUGUCGGGUAAGUUCCGACCUGCACGAAUGGCGUAAUGAUGGCCAGGCUGUCUCCACCCGAGACUCAGUGAAAUUGAACUCGCUGUGAAGAUGCAGUGUACCCGCGGCAAGACGGAAAGACCCCGUGAACCUUUACUAUAGCUUGACACUGAACAUUGAGCCUUGAUGUGUAGGAUAGGUGGGAGGCUUUGAAGCGUGGACGCCAGUCUGCGUGGAGCCAACCUUGAAAUACCACCCUUUAAUGUUUGAUGUUCUAACGUUGGCCCCUGACCGGGGUUGCGGACAGUGUCUGGUGGGUAGUUUGACUGGGGCGGUCUCCUCCCAAAGCGUAACGGAGGAGCACGAAGGUUAGCUAAUCCUGGUCGGACAUCAGGAGGUUAGUGCAAUGGCAUAAGCUAGCUUGACUGCGAGCGUGACGGCGCGAGCAGGUGCGAAAGCAGGUCAUAGUGAUCCGGUGGUUCUGAAUGGAAGGGCCAUCGCUCAACGGAUAAAAGGUACUCCGGGGAUAACAGGCUGAUACCGCCCAAGAGUUCAUAUCGACGGCGGUGUUUGGCACCUCGAUGUCGGCUCAUCACAUCCUGGGGCUGAAGUAGGUCCCAAGGGUAUGGCUGUUCGCCAUUUAAAGUGGUACGCGAGCUGGGUUUAGAACGUCGUGAGACAGUUCGGUCCCUAUCUGCCGUGGGCGCUGGAGAAUUGAGGGGGGCUGCUCCUAGUACGAGAGGACCGGAGUGGACGCAUCACUGGUGUUCGGGUUGUCAUGCCAAUGGCACUGCCCGGUAGCUAAAUGCGGAAGAGAUAAGUGCUGAAAGCAUCUAAGCACGAAACUUGCCCCGAGAUGAGUUCUCCCUGAGACUUUAAGUCUCCUGAAGGAACGUUGAAGACGACGACGUUGAUAGGCCGGGUGUGUAAGCGCAGCGAUGCGUUGAGCUAACCGGUACUAAUGAACCGUGAGGCUUAACCU